Molecule: non-coding RNA, 30 nt
Filed under: Homo sapiens (human)
Lineage: Eukaryota; Metazoa; Chordata; Mammalia; Primates; Hominidae
Source: RNAcentral
UGUUUUGCGAUGUAGGAUGUGGUCAAUGAC